RNAcentral lists this long non-coding RNA (1995 nucleotides) under Homo sapiens (human). RNAcentral describes it as "HSALNT0341759". The record is from RNAcentral. Lineage: Eukaryota; Metazoa; Chordata; Mammalia; Primates; Hominidae.
CGUGUUCCAGUCACAAUAGUUGAGGUAAUAAACAUACCUAUUACCUCCAAAAGUUUCCUUUUCUUCCUUUUUUGUGUUUUUUGGUUGUUGUUUUGUUUUGUGGCAAGAACAUUUAGCAUGAGAUCUACCCUCUUAAUAAAAAAACAGUGCUAGUUCAAUUUAUACAAUACCGUAUUGUUAACUAUAGGCACUAUGUGAUACAGUAGAUCUCUGGCAUUUUCUCUUGUGUAGUGUGUCAUUACAUCAAUUGAACAACUCCCCAUAUUUUCACCUAACUUCAUCUCCUAGUGUCCACCAUUCUGUUGUCUAACUUCUGUAUAUUUGGCUAGAUGCCUCAUGUAAGAGCAGCCAUGAAAUAUGUCUUUCUUUGACUGACUGACUUUUAGCAUAACUUCUUUCAGGUUUAUCCAUGUUCUUACAAAUGAUCACCUUAAAUUAAAAAAAAAAAUUGCUAAAACAACAAUCACAGAAAAAGAAAGUUAAUACAUCAAAUUACUGCCAAAAUUAUUUUAACAUCACCCUUUCCAGAGGCAAAGCUUGUUCAGAAUCAUCCAGUGGGGAAUAUUUUCCCACAAAAUUUAACUUGGAAAGAUCCAGCCUAAAAUAACUCUAUUUUAAACGUUAUUUCAACAUAUUUUAACGAAGCCCUAUGAAUUAUGAAAAUAGCCUUCUGAUAAUACUAAUAAUAUGCCUGAAUAAGACCUUGUAACUUGUUGCUUGCUAAACAACUUCUUUUCAGAUGCUUCACAAUUGAUAUUUGAUAUAGGUGAAGCAGAAAUCAUCUCGAGGAAAUAGCACUGAACAGUAAUGCCCUGAAACACAGCAUUUGUUGUCUCCAAGCCACUGUUAAGCUAAGCUUUCUGGCCCCCAGAUCUGCACCUGACCUUUACCACCUCCUCAUCAUCCACUCUGGUCUGCAUCCUCUUGACCGCGUCUGAGUCUCCUUUGGGGCUGGAUGUCUGCUUCAGCAUUAGGAAAUGGACACAUCUAUAGAAUCUCUCAUGGCAACACACCAAGUAUUGUAAACUUCGUCCUUUCAACAAGUUAUAUUACUAAAAAUCGACAAACUGAACUCACAUGAAUGUGUACUUACAGAGUUGUGGCUCCUGAUUCUAUUUAAGGAUCUUAACUUCACUCUCACAGAUGGACCCACCUGUGGCUACGUUUACACACUAUGAUCCUAGCUAUUUUUCCUAGUGUUGGAAUGUUGGUCUGAGAUAUGGAAAUGACAGACCAUUCAUUGAGAAGUGCAGAAAAAAAGGAGAGCUACACAAUUUACCCAAGAGGUAUUUAUAAUCAUUGGGUAACAUCAAAAUCGGCAAUUAUGUAAAUUGGAAACCUUGGUUUUUAUUCAGUGGAGCUGUAUUAAAUCUUCAUUGGUACAGGAGAAAAGUGAGAGUUUAAUUUUAUACAUUCUUUCGAAUUCAAUUUAUGAUCACAUAAAUGUGCUUUUCCAUAUUAACUUUCUCAUAAAGAGCACAAUUUUCACUUUGAGGAAAAAUAGUAUUUCAGUGAACAAAUUCAAGAGCCCUUUAUAUCUGGCUUCAGUUAUGGGAAAAUAAAUCUAGAAGUCCUGACUGUGUUGAUUAAACUCUUAUAACUUUACAAGAUUAGAGCAAGAGUCUUUGAAAAUAAAAAGUCUUGAUUGAUAAUAAUGUUGAAAAUAUUAUUGUUAAAAACAAGGUCAUCCAUAUGUAUGAUUAAAGGUGGAAAGAGUUUGAAAUUCACCUCCAAUUUCUCAGUGAAGUAUGAAAGACAGCCAGAGAGUUUGUUCAUAAUAUUUGCAAGUAGAUUUUUAAAAAUUUAGACUUGAUACGUAAUCUAAAACAAAAUAUUCUCAAUCUUAUGCUUAACCUCAUGCCAUAAAGUGAAAAUGACGCUUUGAACUACCCUGGAUAAAUUUUAGAAUCAUUUUAUUGAAUAAAUUACUGGAAUAGAAAAUGUCCUAUAUCUACUAUUGCUUGCUUUUUUACUGCACCCUGCCCCAUCCCACUG